AUUGAACGCUGGCGGCAGGCCUAACACAUGCAAGUCGAGCGGUAGCACAGAGAGCUUGCUCUCGGGUGACGAGCGGCGGACGGGUGAGUAAUGUCUGGGAAACUGCCUGAUGGAGGGGGAUAACUACUGGAAACGGUAGCUAAUACCGCAUAACGUCGCAAGACCAAAGUGGGGGACCUUCGGGCCUCAUGCCAUCAGAUGUGCCCAGAUGGGAUUAGCUAGUAGGUGGGGUAAUGGCUCACCUAGGCGACGAUCCCUAGCUGGUCUGAGAGGAUGACCAGCCACACUGGAACUGAGACACGGUCCAGACUCCUACGGGAGGCAGCAGUGGGGAAUAUUGCACAAUGGGCGCAAGCCUGAUGCAGCCAUGCCGCGUGUGUGAAGAAGGCCUUCGGGUUGUAAAGCACUUUCAGCGGGGAGGAAGGCGAUAAGGUUAAUAACCUUGUCGAUUGACGUUACCCGCAGAAGAAGCACCGGCUAACUCCGUGCCAGCAGCCGCGGUAAUACGGAGGGUGCAAGCGUUAAUCGGAAUUACUGGGCGUAAAGCGCACGCAGGCGGUCUGUCAAGUCGGAUGUGAAAUCCCCGGGCUCAACCUGGGAACUGCAUUCGAAACUGGCAGGCUAGAGUCUUGUAGAGGGAGGUAGAAUUCCAGGUGUAGCGGUGAAAUGCGUAGAGAUCUGGAGGAAUACCGGUGGCGAAGGCGGCCCCCUGGACAAAGACUGACGCUCAGGUGCGAAAGCGUGGGGAGCAAACAGGAUUAGAUACCCUGGUAGUCCACGCCGUAAACGAUGUCGAUUUGGAGGUUGUGCCCUUGAGGCGUGGCUUCCGGAGCUAACGCGUUAAAUCGACCGCCUGGGGAGUACGGCCGCAAGGUUAAAACUCAAAUGAAUUGACGGGGGCCCGCACAAGCGGUGGAGCAUGUGGUUUAAUUCGAUGCAACGCGAAGAACCUUACCUGGUCUUGACAUCCACAGAACUUUCCAGAGAUGGAUUGGUGCCUUCGGGAACUGUGAGACAGGUGCUGCAUGGCUGUCGUCAGCUCGUGUUGUGAAAUGUUGGGUUAAGUCCCGCAACGAGCGCAACCCUUAUCCUUUGUUGCCAGCGGUUAGGCCGGGAACUCAAAGGAGACUGCCAGUGAUAAACUGGAGGAAGGUGGGGAUGACGUCAAGUCAUCAUGGCCCUUACGACCAGGGCUACACACGUGCUACAAUGGCAUAUACAAAGAGAAGCGACCUCGCGAGAGCAAGCGGACCUCAUAAAGUAUGUCGUAGUCCGGAUUGGAGUCUGCAACUCGACUCCAUGAAGUCGGAAUCGCUAGUAAUCGUAGAUCAGAAUGCUACGGUGAAUACGUUCCCGGGCCUUGUACACACCGCCCGUCACACCAUGGGAGUGGGUUGCAAAAGAAGUAGGUAGCUUAACCUUCGGGAGGGCGCUUACCACUUUGUGAUUCAUGACUGGGGUGA
This 1463-nucleotide ribosomal RNA is filed under the name uncultured Klebsiella sp. RNAcentral's name for it is "bacterial SSU rRNA". It matches the Rfam family "Bacterial small subunit ribosomal RNA". The record is from RNAcentral. Lineage: Bacteria; Pseudomonadati; Pseudomonadota; Gammaproteobacteria; Enterobacterales; Enterobacteriaceae.